This 253-nucleotide ribosomal RNA is filed under the name uncultured bacterium. Its description in RNAcentral is "partial 16S ribosomal RNA". It matches the Rfam family "Bacterial small subunit ribosomal RNA", at positions 524 to 776 of the family's 1533-position model. The record is from RNAcentral.
GACGUAGGAUGCGAGCGUUAUUCGGAUUUAUUGGGCGUAAAGCGUGCGUAGGCGGCUGUUUAAGUCUGGUGUUAAAGCUAGGGGCUCAACCCCUGUGGUGCAUCGGAUACUGGGCAGCUUGAGUGCGGUAGGGGAAGGUGGAAUUCCGAGUGUAGCGGUGAAAUGCGUAGAUAUCAGGAAGAACACCCGUGGCUAAGGCGGCUCUCUAGUACGGUACUGACGCUGAGACGCGAAAGCGUGGGGAGCGAACAGG